UAUUUAUUGAUCUCACCAUGGAAUCUAGUAUAACGGUGGUUAAUCAGACAGUAUGCUUCCUACACUUUCGACUUUCGAUCAUAAAUAGACACAGCUGCCAUGGAAACUCACAAUUGAAGAAUUACCAACAAGAAGGUGGAAAAGCAGAGAACAAGGCCAUUUCUCUCCUCUUCAAAAUCCUGGAGGCUGGCCUUGCCCACUUUCAAAUGGGUUUCCAAACAACAGACGGUGUUCCACUCAGUGGUAUCCUGGAAAUGUUCAACAGCUGGCUCCCUGGGAAAACAAAACAAAACAGCAAACAAGUCUUGACAUGCAGCACUUGCCAGUUCCCGUGGUGUCAUAUUCCCAUGUUGGCUAAUUUUAAGCUUCGGGUCUGACCUCAUUGAGCCGGGAAGAGAUGUGCUUAGCAAGCUUCUGCUGCAGAGCCUUUUGGAUGAAGCAGGAGAAUACAGGUGAAUUCUGAUGACGCUGUGAUAAAAUGCUCCUUCAUAAGGAAAGCUGUAAAGUGAAGCCAGCAAACGUCCAGAUGAGGGUGUCCUGUGCCAGCUCGUCCAUCCAGCUGGAUUUGCACCGGAUUAAAGUGAUUGUACCUGACUCCUUAUCUAAGGGUCUGCUUCUAACAUUUCCACAGUGAGACAAAAUUUGUUGAUUCCAGAAGUUAAUGGAAAGAUGCAGAAACUGAGACACACAGAAGCUAAGUUGCUCAGUGUCACACAAGUGGUGAGGACAAGUUUGAGUCCGAGUGGUUUGUCUCAAAAGUGCUCAGAAGGACUCCACCAUGGACUGGGGUGUACUCUGCUGUCUGGAGAGGAGUGUUCAAAACUUCAGGGGAGCGUCUGUGUGUGGAGGCCCUUGCCUGCAAUCCCAGCUACUCCAGAGGUUGAGGCAGGAGGAUUGCAAGUUCCAGGCUGCCCUAGACAACUUAGUGAGGCCCUGUCUCAAAAUAAAAUUCAAAAUAAAGGACUGGGAAUGUAGCUCAGUGGUAGAAGGCUUGCCUAGCAUGAGCAAGGCCCCUUGGUUCAAUCCCCAGUACUACAAAAAUAAAACAAAAGAAAUUUAAAGGGAGCAGAGGCAAAGGACAUGGAGAGAGUCCUUUGGUAGAUGAAAGUGAGAAGUUCAAUUAUACUAACACUUCCCAGUCAUUCAAGAUGUUUGUACUUCUAGUAAGAGAUGAGAUAGUGGUAACUAGCAAGAAGUAUGCUGGAGUUUUGAACUCUACCUGCUAAAAAUCAUAAUAUACAGAGCCUACGCAUUUGGAAUCUCAAGGAGGACUUUUUAAUCAGAGGUAGAUAGAAAUAAAAAGUGCUUACUUAGCCUGGAGCUGAAUGUAAUUUUGAGUUGAAAGCUUAAUUAUCUAAAUUUCACCUAUGUGAGCAAUCGUAUUCUGUUUAUAUAAUUCUAUUUUAAGACAUGAGUUUAAAAUAUGGCUUUGCUAUAAAUAAAUAUCUGUUUUUACAUACAAAGACCACUGGUGAGAUACAAAGAUGCUUUAAUUUUUUCUUUUCUAGGGCUUUAGAUGUUUAAGAAAAUCUACGCUAUAGUAUCCAACUGAUAAGUCAGUUUAAUGACACUACCAGUAAGAGUGUAAAGGAGAACAAAGCAGCUAAAAAGUAAUCUCUUUCCUUAUUCCUGCAUUAUCUUUAUAAGAUACACAGUCUAUCGUCUUUCUUUUGCUUAAUAAAAAAAUUUAAUCAGUAUCUCCUUUGUCUACAGAAUACACCACCAUUUGGCUUUCACACUUCUAGCCUCUUGUCCCACCUUUUCAGGCUCUGUGCACUUGGGAUUUUUCAGUCUUCUCUCCAUAGCCAUACAGGGUCAAAGCCCUUCAAUCCUUGUGUCCACUCCAUGUGGUUCUCAGUCCCUGAUUAUCUGUGUCCUUAUGCCAGGGGUAGGCAAGCUCAGCUCUCAGCCUGUCCCGAAGCCCCUACCACUAUCCAGAGAGGACUACUGAUGACCCUCUGCCAUGUUCCCAUAACAUUUUGAGGCUUUCGCCUAAGUUUUCGUUUCUGUGGUGAUGAGUUAGGUAUAAUAUCUUCUCAUUCUAAGGUUUAGUUAGGUAUAUUUACAGAAUCAAGAGGAUUUGAAUUGGAAAGUGCCCUAGAGAUCAGCUAAGACAACCUUCUCAUUUCACCAGAAAUAACUGAAAUUUUAGGAGACAUAUCCAUUUUGUUAUUUCUGGUUAGUCAUAGAACUCAAACUAGAACUUUGUCCUGACCCUGUGCUUUUUUUUUUAUAAAAUAUGCUGUAGACAAUGUCAUUUUUUCCUUUAAAUUGUCCCUGUUCUACUUCACAGAAUCCAAGGAAAUGUUAGAUUACAUGACAAAGGGCCAUUAAGUUUGUAGACAGAAUUAAGACCAAAUUUAAAAUGGGGAAAUUAUCCUGGAUUCUCUGGGUAGAACUUUUGUGGUCAGAAAAGUAUUUUUAAAUGUGGGAAAGGAAGGCAGAAGAGUGUCACAGUGAUGUGAUAGGAGAAAGAUUGGCCAUACUGGCUUUGAAGAUGGAAGGAGGCCAUGAACAAAGGAGUGUGGGUGAUGUCUAGAAACUGAAAAGGGUAAGAAAAUGAAUUUUCUCCCACAAUCUCCAAAAGAAAUAUAUUUCUGACAGCACUUUGAUUUGGGCCCAGUGACACCCAGUUAGACUUCUGACAUCCACAACUAUACUAUAAGAUGAUAAAUUUUCUGUUUUUAACCUGCUAAAUUCAUGGUAAUUUAUUUUAACAACAAUGGGGAAUGGCUAUAAGCUUCUACAUGCAAAUAGCAUUAAAUGGGUAAUUCAAGGCUUAAUACAGAGCAAUUUGAACACUGAAAUUUCUUAAAAGGCAUAUUUUAUUUUCACAAAAUUUGUAUUUAUUUUGAAUGUUUUUGGUUUUAUUUAUUCCUUCCAACAGAUUUCUAUUAAAUGUGUGCCAUUUGCUGUAUCAGACAUUAUGGUAGAUUGAAUAGCCAUCUCCUUGUUGCUGUCUCCUUGAGGAUAAAAUGCUAAUUUCUGAUGUCUUUUUCUUUUCUGGUACUGAGGAUUGAACCCAGAGCCUUCACAGGGUACUACAUCUCCAGUCCUUUAUUUUUUAUUUUGAGACAGGGUCCUACUUAGUCACCAAGUUGCUCAGGCUGGGUUUGAAGUUGCAAUCCUUCUUCCUCAACUUCCCAGAGUGCUGGGAUUAUUAGCAUGUACCACCACACCCAGAUUCUUAUGCUUUGACUUUCUAAUUUGUUUUGGACAUUUGCAUGUGGGCAGAAGAAAUGUGCCACUUUUGAGCAAAGUUUAUUAAUUCUGCUUGCUUUCUUAUGGCUUUGUGAUGUUACUGCUUUAAAAUGAGGCUCCCCAUGUUAUCUGCUACCUAAUCUGGACAACACUUGAAACACUUGAAAGAGUUCCCACAGACUUGUGAGGAAGCUACAUGCUUAUUUUGCUAUGCCAAUGGUACUACUGAGUGUGUUACAUAGUCAUAACAGUAGAUGACUGGCUUUGUCAUGUAAACAAAUGACCUACACACUUUUUAAAGAGUUUUAAUAGUAGAAACAUAUGCAGUUAAUGGAAUUAUCUCAUAGUAUAAAGGAGUGUUUUAUCAAAGAGAAGUCCAGGAGGCUUUAUAGAUAGGGUAAUAGCUGAGCUGAAUCAGAAAGGAUGGAAAUAAUUUCUCUAGUCUGUAAAAGGUGUGACUUGAGUAGAUGAGAAAGGCUCUUCAGGGUAAAUAUAAUACUGUCUUAAUCAAAACACCCAACACCCACACCUCAAAGGAGGAAAAGUUUAUUGUGACUCAUAAUUCCCGUCCAUGGUUGGUUGGCUUCAAGGCAGAAACAGGGCAACAGAGGGGCAUGGUAAAGGAAAAGGAAAAGGAAAAGGUGCUUAACCCAUGGUGUCCAGGAAGCAGAUGAAAAUGGAGGAGGUGGGGAAGGAGAUGCACCUUUACAGGUCUCACUGCCAGUGACCCACUUCUUCCUACUUGGCCCUGCCUCUGACCAGCACAUUUCAUUAUAAUCCAUUGAUGAGUAAAGUGCCUCCACAAUCCAGUCACUUUCCAAAACACAGGAAAAUUUGAAAGGGCAUUUUAGAUCUAAACCAUAACACAUAUCUUUAAGCAAAUUUAAAGGAAAUUUAGUGUCAACUGAAGGCACUAGGAAAUAUGCCUUUAUUUUACUCUGGGUUUGUCUUUUUUGAUAGUUUUCCCAUAGAACUUGCAAAGUAAUAUUUCUCAAGUAAAUAAAUAGGUAUUAUGUAUGAUUUCUGAGAUGACCACAAAAUUGUGAUGUAAUUCUUUAAGGAGCAGAGACAGCAGGAAAUAAAGAGGAACUAGUUUUCAAAGGCUUCCUAUGGUGCAGGUAGAUUCUCUGUCUCCUUCUUAGCAAAGGUAAUUCCCUGUCUCUCCACUGAUAGGACACUGCUAAUGCCACCCCUCUUUUUCUGACAUUAUUUUCAGUGCAGAAUUGCUUUUUCCAGCUGAAUUACUCCUGGAUCACUUUGGAUUUUCAAGUGGUUUUAAGUACACAUGCAAGUCAAUACCAAGAACAACUAAGAAAUUGAUAGGAAGGUCAUGUCUUUUAAAUUUGUAAACUAUGCCAUGAGUGGGGCUAGGAGACCAUGGCACUUGUUUCAUUCUUUGGUGUAUUGGUCUUUCUUAGGUUCUGGGACAUCCUACUGUACCCUAACCCUAGAUAGUCUUUUUCCAAACAGACACCUUUAGUCACAAGGGAAAGGUAAGACAAUGGUAAGUCUUUCCUUUCAGGAAGAAUAGCAUAAUUUUCCAACUCACUGUGGAUCAGCAGUAUCUUUCUGUCUGAUAAGAGAGAUACAUGUCAUGAUUUUAACAGAGUUUGAAUUUGUUCCACAGAGUAGACUUGAAACUAUGUAAAAUCUUAUGCACAUUGCCAUGUGUGCCUCACCUCCUUCUAUCAUAUCUAAAAAUUUCAAUUUUAAUUCCCAUGUAAUUUACUUUUGUUAUUUAAAAAUUUUCAUAUUCACAUAGCCAAAUUCUAUGCAACUUGCAGAAAAAAUGCGUACUAUUUCUGUCAAAAAUUGCAUGCAAUUCUAAAAUAAGCAGAGUUGAAGAUGUUAAUGAAAAGAGAUCUGCAAGUGUAACUAAUAUGAUCUCAUUGUUAAACAAUUCACCAAAUAAAUGCCGUGGUUGGAUUUAGAUACCAGAUGUCAAACCACAUAGUAAUGAAGAUACAGUUGCUUGCUUCCCUGUCACUGGUCGCCAGAAAGAAACAGAUGGUUAAAAAGAUAUGUAGCUGAGGCAAGGCAUGGAAAUAGGAAACCACAGAGUAGAAAUUCUGCCUUUUAAGUAACAGUAAUUUUCUAGUCUGGAAAACAUGGUGUUUUAUACCUCCUCUUAUGCACUUAAGCAGUUUAAAUGUGAAACAUAGCAAAAAUAGUCCAAGCAAGGCUGGCAACUUGCAAAUUUUGCAGUGCAUAGUUGCAUCUCAAAAAUCUUGGAGGCAGACGUACAACAGUAAAAGGCAAACACUUGUAAGCAGUUGAAUACAAUUAUGUGGUGGUUAUUACCUAAGCUCAUUACAGCUUCAGAAGGGGUUCUGUGAACUUGUGCUCUAACUAGUAGGUCAGGCAAAAUGCAAAUAAGGACUAAAUUUGAAAGCAAGUAACAUAAAAACCAGAUACAAUUUAGACUGGGAGUCUAUAAUUUGGGUUUAAAAAAUAAGCCUCAGCAAGAAUCAUCCUCAUUACAAUAAUGGCUUGUUUAUUCUGCACAACUUGUUUACAAUUACAGACCCUCUUUAAAAGCUGAUUUUAACAGGAAAUAGGAGCAUGCAAAGAGACAGAGCAGGGAUGGGGGGAAGAGACAGAGAGAGAGAGAGAGAGAGAGAGGAGAGAGGAGAGAAGAGAGGGCAAGGGCUUCAUGGUUGGUCAGUUGUUAUAAUUAGAGUAGAUGCAUAUAUGUAUUGCAAAACCAUUUAUGCCUUUACUCCAAAUCUUUUAAUUUCAGAUUUCUGUCACUGAAAUAUAAAGUCUCAAAUAGUCUAUUAUUCCAAAGAUAUCAUUAUAAUUGAAUUUCUAAUGAGAGUGUCUAUGGAGCUUUGUUCCUAGUAUUUCCAUUAUGACAUUGGAAUCCUCUUUAUCUAUUAUGGUCAGGUGACCAUGAAAUGAUGAGCUACAGCUGUUACAGGGCAUGUGUCUGCUGGGGCUUAAUUUAUAGUAAAUACACAUUUUAUUGCUAAUAUGUUUUUUUUUCUCAUUCAUUUCUUCAAAUAGUCAUUCAAAUAUUCAGGGGAACCUGGAAGGAGGCAGAGAUAAUGCUCAGGAUAACCAGAUGCCUGGGAUUGAAUCUUGAUCUUGUUACUAACUGCGUAAUCUUGGGCCUCUGUGUCUCAGCCUUCUUUUCUUUAUAAUGAAGGUGGUAACUCUCUUGUAGAUUGUUGUGAAGUUUAAAUAAAUUAAUACAUCUUAAGAGCUCAGAAAAGUCCCUGCCACAUAAUAAUAUGCUACCUAUUGUUAUUAUUCUUUGCUGGACCUUGGGAACAUAGUGGUGAUCGGGAUGUGCUCGAUCUCUUCCUUUACAGAACUAACGUUCUUGGGGAGAGAGGAGAUGGCAUUAGGCAGCUAGUCAUCCACUUAAUUACUUUUGUGGUAAGUGCAGCAGGAAAGUAUCAAAGUGAAGCUGUUGUAUAAAAUGGGGACUUGACCUGUUUGGGGUAGAUUUCCAGCUUCUAGAAGUGACAUUUGCUCUCUAAAGGAUGACUAAGAAUUAUUUAGGAAGUUAGAAAUCAGGAGAACAUGUAGGGAGAUUGCUUUGCUUACAGAAGCAAAAUGGGAGAUGAAAGGUAUAAUGCGGCAAACUGCUUAGAACUCACACUUCCAUACUCUGUGGCUGGAAACAAUUCAGUUACAAUGGUUUGAUCAUAGACUGAGUUUUCUUGUCAUUGAUUCCUUUUGUUCUUCCACUUAGACUCCUUGAUCCUUUGUGGAUCCUUUAUCCAUGAAACACACUGUAAAAUCCUGGGGUUUUCAUUGGUUAGAUGCCUCUGUUUUCUUACAAGCUCAUGACAAAGUCAUUUCUCACUAUAUUUUGUUGUUUUCAGCAAGUCAACUAAAGUUAGAAUCCAAAAAUACAUGUAAAUAGAAGUGCAUGUAAAUAGAGGUGUAUGUAUGUUGUAUAUAAUUUUACAUUAAAUUUAUAACUAUUUUUACAAAUUGACCAUACCAUUUGUAGAAUUUUGCAUUCUGCUUCUUUAUUGAGAUUUUAUGUGAACUUUUUCUUGUAUCAUAGUAUUCUUUGAAAAUAAAGAUUUAAACUAUAAUGCAUGGCUGUUCAGUUGUGUGAUUGAUCCCAUUUUGUGAACAUGGCUGAACAUUUUAGAUUGCAUCCAAAUGUUUAUCAUCAUAAAUAAUGCCGUAAAAAUGUUUACUGGAGUGCUUUUAGAUAAGUCUCCUUAGAGUGGCGCAUUGUCAGAAAUAAUAUUGGUAUAUCAAGGACCGUUUAUUUCUUUUUAAGUUUCUUUGUAUAUAUA
Heterocephalus glaber (naked mole-rat) is the source of this 7463-nucleotide long non-coding RNA. The record is from Ensembl. NCBI's taxonomy places the organism in Eukaryota, Metazoa, Chordata, Mammalia, Rodentia, Bathyergidae.